UACGGGGGGGGCAAGCGUUGUUCGGAAUUACUGGGCGUAAAGGGCGCGUAGGCGGCCUGCUAAGUCGGACGUGAAAUCCCUCGGCUCAACCGGGGAACUGCGUCCGAUACUGGCGAGGCUUGAAUCCGGGAGAGGGAUGUGGAAUUCCAGGUGUAGCGGUGAAAUGCGUAGAUAUCGGAAGGAACACCAGUGGCGAAAGCGGCUUCCUGGUCCAGCACCGACGUUCAGGCACGAAAGCGUGGGGAGCAAACAGG
Molecule: ribosomal RNA, 254 nt
Filed under: uncultured bacterium
Lineage: Bacteria
Description: partial 16S ribosomal RNA
Rfam family: Bacterial small subunit ribosomal RNA
Source: RNAcentral